AUUGAACGCUGGCGGAAUGCUUUACACAUGCAAGUCGAGCGGCAGCGCGGGGGGCAACCCUGGCGGCGAGCGGCGAACGGGUGAGUAACAUAUCGGAACGUACCCCGUCGUGGGGGAUAACACAGCGAAAGCUGUGCUAAUACCGCAUACGACCUGAGGGUGAAAGCGGGGGAUCGCAAGACCUCGCGCGAUGGGAGCGGCCGAUAUCGGAUUAGCUUGUUGGUGAGGUAAAGGCUCACCAAGGCGACGAUCCGUAGCUGGUCUGAGAGGACGACCAGCCACACUGGAACUGAGACACGGUCCAGACUCCUACGGGAGGCAGCAGUGGGGAAUUUUGGGACAAUGGGGGGCAACCCUGAUCCAGCCAUUCCGCGUGAGUGAAGAAGGCCU
Molecule: ribosomal RNA, 390 nt
Filed under: uncultured bacterium
Lineage: Bacteria
Description: bacterial SSU rRNA
Rfam family: Bacterial small subunit ribosomal RNA
Source: RNAcentral